GGGAGGCAGCAGUGGGGAAUUUUGGACAAUGGGCGCAAGCCUGAUCCAGCCAUGCCGCGUGAGUGAAGAAGGCCUUCGGGUUGUAAAGCUCUUUCGGCGGGGAAGAAAUCACAUUCUCUAAUACAGGGUGUGGAUGACGGUACCCGCAUAAGAAGCACCGGCUAACUACGUGCCAGCAGCCGCGGUAAUACGUAGGGUGCGAGCGUUAAUCGGAAUUACUGGGCGUAAAGCGUGCGCAGGCGGUUGUAUAAGUCAGAUGUGAAAUCCCCGGGCUCAACCUGGGAACUGCAUUUGAGACUGUACGGCUAGAGUGUGGCAGAGGGGGGUAGAAUUCCACGUGUAGCAGUGAAAUGCGUAGAGAUGUGGAGGAAUACCGAUGGCGAAGGCAGCCCCCUGGGCCAAUACUGACGCUCAUGCACGAAAGCGUGGGAAGCAAACAGGAUUAGAUACCCGUGUAGUCCU
RNAcentral lists this ribosomal RNA (462 nucleotides) under uncultured bacterium. Its description in RNAcentral is "bacterial SSU rRNA". It matches the Rfam family "Bacterial small subunit ribosomal RNA", at positions 343 to 797 of the family's 1533-position model. The record is from RNAcentral.